UCCCUGACACUUUAAGUGUCCUAAAGGGUUGUUCAAGACUAGAACGUUGAUAGGCAGGGUGUGUAAGCGCUGUGAGGCGUUGAGCUAACCUGUACUAAUUGCCCGUGAGGCUUAACCAUACAACACCCAAGGGGUUU
RNAcentral lists this ribosomal RNA (137 nucleotides) under Vibrio chagasii. RNAcentral's name for it is "partial 23S ribosomal RNA". The stretch from base 1 to 119 matches the Rfam family "Bacterial large subunit ribosomal RNA", at positions 2812 to 2925 of the family's 2925-position model. Lineage: Bacteria; Pseudomonadati; Pseudomonadota; Gammaproteobacteria; Vibrionales; Vibrionaceae. The record is from RNAcentral.